AAAGGAGGCUGUUUCAAAGCAGAAAUAGGAACCAGCAGAAAUCAGACAACUGAGAACAUUUGUAGAUCUAAAAUUGAUCACAUCUAUGAACAUGAACUCUGAGGUGAUACCAGAAAUCCACUCCUCUCACAGUAAGAAGCCUUUUAAUUUCUGGAUGAACUUUGUUCAGGUAGUUAUAUACCCAUUUAAUCCUGGGUCAGCCUUGUGUCUGUGGAAUAAAGGUCUGGAACUGGUAAGUCCACCAGGAUGAAUUUUCCUUACUGGAGCUUGACCCUGCUGGAAAUACUGGUAUAUCCUCAGAUUCUUCUGGGGUCUUUUUAUUGCCAUAAUAUAGUGGCACUUCAUAGUCACCAUGCACUCACCUAGUAUAUCCAAGUUUAUAUCUUUUCUCUUAUUUCUAAUAGGCAUGAUAUCAGCUUUUAACAGAAACUUUUUCUGUAAUAGAAUAUCUUUACAGGCAUGACCUAUCAUGUCUUUCAUUAAAUUCUCUCUAUUGCUUAAGUCUUCAAGGUUACACAGCCCCUUUAUGACACUCCACUCUGGAUCUUUUCUGCAAAGAAUGCCUCAGCAAAUUUUAGAAGUGUAACAUUUUUUCCCCCCCAUACCUUCUUCAUGCAUAAAAUUCUCUCCAGCCCAGAAUUUAAUUUUUCCAUUACAAACAGGAUCAUCUCUCCUUCAGCUAGUUAGUUAUGCAAUGUAGAAAUCUCAUAUUAAUGUCCAUCUUUUACUCUUUAAUAAAUAAUUUCUCAUUUGACAUUGAAACUUAUUGUUUCUGAAUACUCUCUGAAUAGUUCUGUUUAAUCUGUCUCAAAAACAGAACACAAUAUCUAAGAGUUUAAUAUGUAAACUUAACAAGUUGAGCUACUUUCAGCUGAGCAAAGUGCUCUACAAAAACAUGAGGCCCGUGCAUAAAUCACCAGUUCUAGCUCUGUUAGGAAAUACAUAGUCCUCCUUGUAAUCAGGGCAACAGAGGACCACUGAAAUGUUUUGGGUAAGAAAGUUUGAAGAAUCUGGAGGCCCCCAAAACCAGAAGCACUUUGUGGGCAGUCUGGUGUGAAGAUGAAGGAGAUGAUGAAGAAGCUUUUGCAUCAUUCACCUGUGUUGUCAGGAUCAUUUCAGAUUAUGCUUUUCUUCUAAACUAGAUAUCUGAUUUCUAGCUUUUGGUUUAUAAUAUCAAAGGUAUUUCCACAUGACUUACUACAGUGAAGUAACAACAGCAAAAACACCAAAACCCCCAAUGAAUUAAUAACUUUACUGAUAUAUUAAGCCCACUGUUCUUACCUUAAAGGUGGAACAAUUCUUUCAAGAUCCAGAUUAAUCAUACAGCGAAUAACUGCAGAAUUUCAAGAGUUCUCUUCAGCCUGAAGAACGGAACAGUUCAGCAGCUGCUUGGUGAUCACUGUUAAUGCACUCAGCAGUUGGUUAUUUACAGCACAGAGUGGUGUCCAUUGUGAAAUCAUAGCAUCAAUCUAAGAAUGCUCUGUGUGUCAUCUUUUUCCAUGAACACUAACAGAACAGGAGCAGUAGGAAUGGAUGUCAGCAGGUUUACAACAACUUUCCUGGAAUUAUUGCCCUCCUGAGAAGAAUUUCCAUUCCAGACCAUCUCAGUUGGAGAUCUCUAUAAAGAUGUUGCCCUGGCCAUAUUUCUUGUGCUUGGUACUUUGUUUGAAAUGUAUGGUGUCACUGGAAAACUCUGUCUUGAGCCAAGAGUGCUACCACUGUUUUCAGGAAAGUGUUUGACAGUGGCAUGUGCAGUAGCAUUUAUUUUAAGAAGUGAGAUGAAAAAAUCAUUCAAAAGAGAGAAGGUUUGUUAACAGAAAGCACCUGGAAGCAUGCAAAAUUGAACAGUGCAUCUAUAUAUUUUAAUUUUUUUUCCAGAAAUGUAUGGUGUCAUCUUUAUUUGUAGAGUCAUGUUGCUAAUUUGCAAACAUUUGGAGAACUGUCAAAUGUUUUUGUGAAUAUUUAUGAGUUCUCAGUGUUUCACUGUUUUUAGCACAGGUGGUCAUUUGACCCAAAAAUUCCUCUAGGAAAUGUACUAUUUACUGUUCACCAUUCAUCUUUCUAUUGCAUAAAAGGUUUGUCAUCCUGUUAGUGAACAAAAUAAGUGGUCUGUGAGGCAGGAUGCAGGGUAACCCUUGCAGUGGACAGCUGAAAUAUAUAGCUUCAAACAAGCCUGGGUAUUAUAAAGAAAUAAUGUGCAGAACAUUAUUUUUUUAAACAACUAAGCAAAUAUUUAUCAACAGUAAGUCCUCCAGGGUACACAUUGUCCUUUUAUUUUCCUAUUUAUUCACCAUCUACUAUAAUAGAAUUGCAAACCUUGUAAAGGUCUUUAGGCAUUAAUAUAAUAAAUAUAUACAAUAACAGAGAUAACAAAUGCUAUUUAAGAAAUCUAUAUUGGAUAGUAGACAACUCAGAAAUAAAACUAGGUUAGAAACAAAUUUCCUGCAAGUAGGCUCACUUCAAAAUAAAAAUAUUGCCAAAUCCUUCUUUCUUUACUCACAUGAGUCCUCAAGCUGAAGAAAAGCUUCUAAGGCAGAUUAUAAGACUUCACUCCAUAGACUGGGAAUUUAUAUUUUAACAAACCAGAAUGAAGUUUUCAGAACUGUGAGCUGUGUGAAAUUAGCUCCAGGAAGUAUUUUUAAUGAUCAAGAAAGAGAGAAAAUAUUUCAGAACACAGACUAAAAUCUUUGAAAUUUAUUUUGGUGUAAUGUUUUAAUUCUAAGUUUUGAUUUCCAUCCAGCCAUUAACAUUCAAUGAGUACAAAGAGAAGCAGAAAAUUAUUUAAAAAUAUUUUUUCUGGAUAAAUCUAACACAAGGGAGUCUAGUGCAUAAAUUGGGCUUUCAUUGUAACUACUCACACACCCUGUGAUGACAACCAGAGAUUAGGUAUCCCUAUAUGUUACAUCCUGUUGUGUUAAAUGUUAAUACUUAACAAUAUUUAUUGAAUUAGUUACCUCCUGUAGUUUAGGAAUAGUUAUUGUUCUUUUAGAUUUAUCCACAUGUCUUUGCAGCAAGUUAAAAAAAUUAAUUUUAUUUUUCAUUUUUCUAUUAAAAUUCCAAGCCCUUGUUACCCCAGGUUGAUUUAAAACUGUGGAGAAAUUUUGUAAUCACAGAUGGCAAGAGUGAUCAAUCAGGCUUUUAUUAAUCUUCCAGAGAGACAGAUCCCCCAGACAAAGACACUUAAAUAAAAUCACUUAAAAGAUAACUAACUUCAACCUUUGCCUUGGCAAUCCCCCACUCUUCCAAAGGAGCCUGUGGCAUGCAAGCCUUGUCCUAACUGCAUUCAGGGGGGCUAAAGUUCAGAGGUCUUUGCUCCCUUUCUUUCAGGUGUUUGCCUGCACAGCAAACAGUACCUCUGGUAAGGUCAAGAUCUUGAGGCCUCCUGGGUCUGGCAGAUGUCUGGUUUCCAGGCUUUCCCCACUCCAUCCAAUUGUGAGGUGAUAUCCCAAGGGAUUUCAUUAAGUCAGUUUUUGUAAAUGAGCUGGGUUUGCAAUCUGACCACUGCUGCCCCU
Molecule: long non-coding RNA, 3512 nt
Organism: Oenanthe melanoleuca
Lineage: Eukaryota; Metazoa; Chordata; Aves; Passeriformes; Muscicapidae
Exons: 4
Source: RefSeq, a predicted model, not a curated record